AGGUGAGUUGAGCAGUAAGAAAGCCGGUGCAGUGAUGUGCCGGCUGCCGACAAUAGUUGAACCCCUUGACUGGGGGUCAAGGGGUCGCAGGUUCAAAUCCUGUCGUCC
Molecule: transfer RNA, 108 nt
Filed under: Kitasatospora kifunensis
Lineage: Bacteria; Bacillati; Actinomycetota; Actinomycetes; Kitasatosporales; Streptomycetaceae
Description: tRNA-Pro
Source: RNAcentral